AGAUGUUCAUAACUCUUGAUUUAUACGAUGUUCAUAACUCUUGCUUUAGAAGAUGUCAUAACUCUUGCUUUAGAGGCAAGAAUUAGCCCAAGAACUUUCAAAUAAUAAGUUACAUCUCAUAGGCAAGAGUUGAUAAUACCACAUUGUCUGAAUUUAUGAGAUGUUCUAUAAAUUAUGCCUCUAAGGCAUGAUUUAGCCCAAAGACUUUUAAACAACAAGUUACGCCUCAUGGGCAAGACUUAACACUGCCACAUUGUGUCUUGAUUUAUGAGGUGUUUUAUAUCUCUUGCCUUAGAGGCAAGACUUAUCCCAAAUGACUUCCAAACAAGUCACACCCUUAAUUUACUUUGAUGGCAAAGAAAGAAGAUUCUCUUUGUGGAUUAUCCAACUUUCUGUUCAUUAGCAAAAUAUAACAGAAGUUGAGAAAAAAAAAAGAGAAAGAAAAAAUAAAGGUUAAAAAAAUAAAAAAAGGACAAGAACAAAAAUAAAAAAAGAAAAAAAAUAAAGAUUGAGAAAAACAAAAAUGAGAAGAAAAAACAAAAAUAAAGUUUGAAAAAAAUGAAAAAAAGAGAAGAAAAAAAGAGAAAAACAAAAAAAAUAUGAGAAAAAUAAAAGUUGAG
RNAcentral lists this long non-coding RNA (620 nucleotides) under Capsicum annuum. RNAcentral's name for it is "long non-coding RNA (CANN_LNC020800)". The record is from RNAcentral. Lineage: Eukaryota; Viridiplantae; Streptophyta; Magnoliopsida; Solanales; Solanaceae.